CCAUGUUCCUCCUCCUUCUUCCUUACAAUUCCUUUCAAAAUGUUCCUCCUUCUUCUUCAUUGUUGUUCUACGAUUCAAACUCUACAAUCGAUCGGUAUGUAUUAAUCAUUUUGAUAUCUGUUAUUUUGAUUGUUAAUUUCAUCUAUCUUUGUUGGUUUAUCCCGUCUUUAUUAUUAAUGUUGUUUAUAUGGUUUUUUCACAUAUAAUCGGCGAUUCCUUUAUUGUUACGAUUCCAAGUGUAAAUCAGAUUUAUAUGUCAUGCCAAUUUUUUGGGGAAAAGUAAUCGAAACCUUGCUGAGUGCGACAUUUAUCAUCAGGUAUGAAACUUCUAUUUAUUUAUGGCUGACCUCCAUAUCUCUCUACCUAUUGACUUGGAUCUGCAUAUUCAAUCAAGAAUCUUUAAAAACAUCUAAGGUAAAACUACAUGAUGAUGGUUAAAUAUUGUUUGUUUAUGUUGUUCGAUCUUCAAUUUAUUCAAGAAAAGUUAAGCUUUUGAUGUUGAAAACCGUUUCGGCAGUUGGUAAUGUUUGUUGUUGUUCUUAUUUUUUGUAGAUCAUUAGACAUAUAGAGAAGGUUUAAAUUUUUUCAUGAAUAAACCUAAAUGUUAUGCCACUGCCGGACUAUCAAUCUUCGUCGAACAUGUUACAGAUAUGGAUCAGAGUAACAACAAUCCUUCAUUUUAAAGCUGAUUGAGAAAUACCUAAUGACUUUGCUUCAAUGAUGUGGGGAGAGCAACCACCUUAAAAAUAAUCUGUUAAGAUUGUUGAUGGCAACAAGUUAUGGUUUGUAAGACGGAAAAAAACUGAUUUGGGCCCUGUACUUGGUGAUGGCUUCACCAAAGUUGUUUGGGACAGUCGUAUAACAAAAAAUGACUAUCUUAUGUUUCAGUCAUAUUUUUUUCAUCACUCUUUAAAUUUCCAGUAACUUUUCAUGUAUUGUACUAUCAUUUCUACGUAUUUUCAUGUUUUCCAUUGAUGAUAAA
Long non-coding RNA from Helianthus annuus (common sunflower), 982 nucleotides. RefSeq lists it as uncharacterized. NCBI's taxonomy places the organism in Eukaryota, Viridiplantae, Streptophyta, Magnoliopsida, Asterales, Asteraceae. The transcript has 6 exons. The record is from RefSeq and is a predicted model, not a curated record.